RNAcentral lists this ribosomal RNA (508 nucleotides) under uncultured Oscillospiraceae bacterium. RNAcentral's name for it is "partial 16S ribosomal RNA". The record is from RNAcentral. Lineage: Bacteria; Bacillati; Bacillota; Clostridia; Eubacteriales; Oscillospiraceae.
CACGUAGUUAGCCGUGGCUUUCUCACAGAGUACCGUCACCUUCUUCUUCCUCUGCGACAGAAGUUUACAACCCGAAGGCCGUCAUCCUUCACGCGGCGUUGCUGCGUCAGGGUUUCCCCCAUUGCGCAAUAUUCCCCACUGCUGCCUCCCGUAGGAGUCUGGGCCGUGUCUCAGUCCCAAUGUGGCCGAUCAACCUCUCAGUUCGGCUACUGAUCGUCGACUAGGUGGGCCGUUACCCCGCCUACUAUCUAAUCAGACGCGAGUCCAUCUGUAAGCGAUAAAUCUUUCAAAGCUUCCCCAUGCGGAAAAACUUCAAUAUGCGGUAUUAGCACAGAUUUCUCUGUGUUAUCCCCCUCUUACAGGUCAGGUUACUCACGCGUUACUCACCCGUCCGCCGCUCUCCACAAAAGACCUUCACCCCGAAGGGAUCAGUCUCUUGUUUCCCGCUCGACUUGCAUGUGUUAGGCACGCCGCCAGCGUGUCCUCGUAGCGCGAUCAACUACUCUAC